RNAcentral lists this long non-coding RNA (277 nucleotides) under Dasypus novemcinctus (nine-banded armadillo). RNAcentral describes it as "lncRNA (ENSDNOG00000051032.1)". The record is from RNAcentral. Lineage: Eukaryota; Metazoa; Chordata; Mammalia; Cingulata; Dasypodidae.
GCCCUGAAGGCAUGGGGGGCUCGUCACCCCCUCCAAGGCUGUCCCCGCUCUCGGGCCGCCGCGGUCACUGCAGCUUCGGACAGCGGCCGGGUAGGACGGCUCCGAGAAUGAAAAUGUGGUUCUUUGCGUGGGUGGUCUCGUUGAUCCUUGGAACUGUGCAAUGCCAGCAGGCCACAGGGAAGCUGACAACUGUGGAUCCUGAAGCAUUUAUGAAUGUGGUAAGUGUUCAAAGUUACCUGCUUUUAAAAUGCCUUUGUGACAAGCGUUAUUUCCUAAA